This 512-nucleotide ribosomal RNA is filed under the name uncultured bacterium. RNAcentral's name for it is "partial 16S ribosomal RNA". The record is from RNAcentral.
GGAGUUAGCCGGUGCUUCUUCUGUGAGUGAUGUCCUUCCUGCCGGUUAUUGACCCGCAGGCCUUCUUCCUCACUGAAAGUGCUUUACAACCCGAAGGCCUUCUUCACACACGCGGCAUGGCUGGAUCAGGGUUGCCCCCAUUGUCCAAUAUUCCCCACUGCUGCCUCCCGUAGGAGUCUGGGCCGUGUCUCAGUCCCAGUGUGGCUGAUCAUCCUCUCAGACCAGCUACGGAUCGUCGCCUUGGUGAGCCGUUACCUCACCAACCAGCUAAUCCGACAUAGGCUCAUCCGAUAGCGCGAGGCCCGAAGGUCCCCCGCUUUCCCCCGUACGGGCGUAUGCGGUAUUAGCCUGGGUUUCCCCAGGUUAUCCCCCACUACCGGGCAGAUUCCUAUGCAUUACUCACCCGUCCGCCGCUCGCCACCAGGGAGCAAGCUCCCCGUCGCUGCCGCUCGACUUGCAUGUGUUAGGCCUGCCGCCAGCGUUCAAUACUGAGCCACNGAUCAAACUACUGA